Molecule: unclassified non-coding RNA, 261 nt
Filed under: Hevea brasiliensis (rubber tree)
Lineage: Eukaryota; Viridiplantae; Streptophyta; Magnoliopsida; Malpighiales; Euphorbiaceae
Source: RNAcentral
AAUUUAUUGAACAUUAAAUGAAUCAGCUGUCAAUGAUUAGACCAGAUAUUGAAUAAUUCUUGAUCUAAGCUUCAUUACCGAGUCAUUAAAGACAUCCUGAAGAUAAUGAUGGUAUUCAAAAGAACCAUGAAUCAGAGAGGCAAUUCCUCCUGAGACUGCAUGAAGAUCGGGAUUUUAAUGAAAAUGAUAUUAAGGCAAAAAGAAUAAACAGAUAAAUAACAGCAACCACUAUCCACUAACCACCACUACUUGGGAUCCCAA